This 58-nucleotide microRNA precursor is filed under the name Homo sapiens (human). RNAcentral's name for it is "Hsa-Mir-1271_pre stem-loop". The record is from RNAcentral. Lineage: Eukaryota; Metazoa; Chordata; Mammalia; Primates; Hominidae.
CUUGGCACCUAGCAAGCACUCAGUAAAUAUUUGUUGAGUGCCUGCUAUGUGCCAGGCA